AUGAACGCUGGCGGCGUGCUUAACACAUGCAAGUCGAACGAAGCACUUUAUUUGAUUUCCUUCGGGACUGAUUAUUUUGUGACUGAGUGGCGGACGGGUGAGUAACGCGUGGGUAACCUGCCUUGUACAGGGGGAUAACAGUUGGAAACGGCUGCUAAUACCGCAUAAGCGCACGGCAUCGCAUGAUGCAGUGUGAAAAACUCCGGUGGUAUAAGAUGGACCCGCGUUGGAUUAGCUAGUUGGUGAGGUAACGGCCCACCAAGGCGACGAUCCAUAGCCGACCUGAGAGGGUGACCGGCCACAUUGGGACUGAGACACGGCCCAAACUCCUACGGGAGGCAGCAGUGGGGAAUAUUGCACAAUGAGCGAAAGCCUGAUGCAGCGACGCCGCGUGAGCGAAGAAGUAUUUCGGUAUGUAAAGCUCUAUCAGCAGGGAAGAUAAUGACGGUACCUGACUAAGAAGCACCGGCUAAAUACGUG
RNAcentral lists this ribosomal RNA (480 nucleotides) under uncultured bacterium. RNAcentral describes it as "partial 16S ribosomal RNA". It matches the Rfam family "Bacterial small subunit ribosomal RNA", at positions 29 to 507 of the family's 1533-position model. The record is from RNAcentral.